This 746-nucleotide ribosomal RNA is filed under the name Prymnbriareus nimberlinus. Its description in RNAcentral is "partial 16S ribosomal RNA". The record is from RNAcentral. Lineage: Eukaryota; Metazoa; Mollusca; Gastropoda; Stylommatophora; Camaenidae.
CGCGAAGUUAGUGGAGCUAUGUCAAUAUAAGUGUUAGAUUUACAAUAUGUAGCAUAAUAUGGAUAAAUAUUUACAUAGGGGUGAUAUGCCUAUCAAAUCUAACGAUAUCUCGAUACUUUAGAAAAUCAUUAAGUGUUAUAUCAGCUAAAUAGUGACAAGGUUAUUUAGUAACACUAAUCGAUUAUAAUGGUGAGAUCAUGGUUUAAAUGCUAGAUUACUAUAAUUAUAAAUAUUAAUAUAUUAAGGGUUGUGUUUUUUAUAAAGUAAUAUUUAAUAAUUUAAGAUAUAAAUAAUGUAAUUAUUAGUAUAUUAUAGAUGUUAAAAAUGAACUCGGCAAUAUACCUUUCAACUGUUUAUCAAAAACAUAGCUAUAUGUAUAUAUACAUAGUAAUUUCUGCUCAAUGAGUUUUAAAUAGCCGCAGUACCCUGACUGUGCUAAGGUAGCGUAAUAAUUUGACUUAUAAUUGAAGUCCAGUAUGAAUGAAAUAUUGGGGGGUAGCUUUAUCUUUAACAAUCAAAGAAAUUAUUUAUUAAGUGAAAAAUCUUUAAUCUAAAUGAUAGACGAGAAGACCCUAGAAAUUUUUAUAAAAUGUUAUAAUUCAUUUUUGUUGGGGCAACAAAGUAACAUGAAACUUACUAUAUUUAACAAGAACAUAUAUGUGUAAGAUUAAAUUACUCUAGGGAUAACAGCGUUAUCUAUAAAAGCUUGCGACCUCGAUGUUGGACUAGGAAACAAAUACCUAGAA